GAUGAACGCUGGCGGCGUGCUUAACACGUGCAAGUCGAGCGAUGAAGUUUCCUUCGGGGAACGGAUUAGCGGCGGACGGGUGAGUAACACGUGGGUAACCUGCCUCAUAGAGUGGAAUAGCCUUCCGAAAGGAAGAUUAAUACCGCAUAAUGUUGAAAGAUGGCAUCGUCAUUCAACCAAAGGAGCAAUCCGCUAUGAGAUGGACCCGCGGCGCAUUAGCUAGUUGGUGGGGUAACGGCCUACCAAGGCGACGAUGCAUAGUCGAGUUGAGAGACUGAUCGGCCACAUUGGGACUGAGACACGGCCCAA
RNAcentral lists this ribosomal RNA (309 nucleotides) under uncultured bacterium. RNAcentral describes it as "bacterial SSU rRNA". It matches the Rfam family "Bacterial small subunit ribosomal RNA", at positions 28 to 334 of the family's 1533-position model. The record is from RNAcentral.